GACGAACGCUGGCGGCGUGCCUAACACAUGCAAGUCGAACGGAGUUAUCCUUCGGGGUAACUUAGUGGCGAACGGGUGAGUAACGCGUGAGGAACCUGCCUUUCAGUGGGGGACAACAGUUGGAAACGACUGCUAAUACCGCAUAAUGUUAUCGGACCGCAUGGUCUGAUAACCAAAGAUUUAUUGCUGAAAGAUGGCCUCGCGUCUGAUUAGAUAGUUGGUGGGGUAACGGCCUACCAAGUCGACGAUCAGUAGCCGGACUGAGAGGUUGAACGGCCACAUUGGGACUGAGAUACGGCCCAGACUCCUACGGGAGGCAGCAGUGGGGAAUAUUGGGCAAUGGGGGAAACCCUGACCCAGCAACGCCGCGUGAAGGAAGAAGGCCUCGGUGUAACUACUUUACCUAGGACGAAGAACGUAGACGGUACCUGGAG
This 434-nucleotide ribosomal RNA is filed under the name uncultured bacterium. RNAcentral describes it as "bacterial SSU rRNA". It matches the Rfam family "Bacterial small subunit ribosomal RNA", at positions 28 to 484 of the family's 1533-position model. The record is from RNAcentral.